Molecule: long non-coding RNA, 256 nt
Organism: Urocitellus parryii (Arctic ground squirrel)
Lineage: Eukaryota; Metazoa; Chordata; Mammalia; Rodentia; Sciuridae
Source: RefSeq, a predicted model, not a curated record
GUGGGUAACUCUGAAAUCUUGGACAAGUCACUUCUUUCAUAAUAUAUAAAAAGUGAUUUAUGGAAAACACCUGAUAAAUGUUUUUCCUUCAAGCUCUGCCAUUUGGGACCCUGCCCUUUACCCAGAAAGGGUAACUUGAGAAAGAAACCAUGGCUGCUCUUCACCAUACAGGGAAACCCCAGGAGGAAAUAAGGCAGCCAAGAGGAGGGCUUCUAGGAGCUGAUAUCCUUCAAGUCAACAUGUGGACACAUUCAUC